GUACUUGCUUUGGCAGCACAUAUACUAAAAUUGGAACGAUACAGAGAAGAUUAGCAUGGCCCCUGUGCAAGGAUGACAUGCAAAUUUGUGAAGCAUUCCAUAUUUAA
Small nuclear RNA from Callithrix jacchus (white-tufted-ear marmoset), 107 nucleotides. NCBI's taxonomy places the organism in Eukaryota, Metazoa, Chordata, Mammalia, Primates, Cebidae. The record is from Ensembl.